This 322-nucleotide ribosomal RNA is filed under the name uncultured eukaryote. RNAcentral's name for it is "partial 18S ribosomal RNA". It matches the Rfam family "Eukaryotic small subunit ribosomal RNA", at positions 1470 to 1796 of the family's 1831-position model. The record is from RNAcentral.
CCCUUAGAUGUUCUGGGCUGCACGCGCGCUACACUGUUGCAUUCAGCGAGUUUUAACCAAGGCCGAAAGGUCAAGGUAAUCUUUGAAAGUGCAACGUGCUUGGGCUAGAUGAUUGCAAUUAUUCAUCUUAAACGAGGAAUGCCUAGUAAACGCAUGUCAUCAGCGUGCAUUGAUUACGUCCCUGCCCUUUGUACACACCGCCCGUCGCUCCUACCGAUUGAAUGUUCCGGUGAGCUCUUCGGACUGCGCGGUCUGCAGUUUCUGCGUUCCGUGCGGAAAGUUGCGCAAACCUUAACAUUUAGAGGAAGGAGAAGUCGUAACA